AUUGAACGCUGGCGGCAUGCCUUACACAUGCAAGUCGAACGGUAACGCGGGGCAACCUGGCGACGAGUGGCGAACGGGUGAGUAAUGCAUCGGAACGUGCCCAGUAGUGGGGGAUAGCUCGACGAAAGUCGAAUUAAUACCGCAUACGACCUAAGGGUGAAAGGGGGGAGUCGCAAGACCUCUCGCUAUUGGAGCGGCCGAUGUCAGAUUAGGUAGUUGGUAGGGUAAAGACCUACCAAGCCUAUGAUCUGUAGCUGGUCUGAGAGGACGACCAGCCACACUGGGACUGAGACACGGCCCAGACUCCUACGGGAGGCAGCAGUGGGGAAUUUUGGACAAUGGGCGCAAGCCUGAUCCAGCCGUGCCGCGUGCGGGAAGAAGGCCUUCGGUU
This 391-nucleotide ribosomal RNA is filed under the name uncultured bacterium. RNAcentral describes it as "bacterial SSU rRNA". It matches the Rfam family "Bacterial small subunit ribosomal RNA", at positions 30 to 423 of the family's 1533-position model. The record is from RNAcentral.